UUGGAGGGCAAGUCUGGUGCCAGCAGCCGCGGUAAUCCUAGCUCCAAUAGCGUAUAUUAAAGUUGCUGCAGUUAAAAAGCUCGUAGUUGAAUUUCGGGAUCAAAUUGUCGGUCGUGCCUCGGUACGCACUGGUAUUAUUGGUUCCUACCUUCUGAAGAACCGCGAUGUCAUUAAUUUGGUGUCGUGGGGAAUCAGGAUUGUUACUUUGAAAAAAUUAGAGUGUUUAAAGCAGGCUUACGCUUGAAUACAUUAGCAUGGAAUAAUGAAAUAGGACGUUUGAUUCUAUUUUGUUGGUUUCUAGGAUUGACGUAAUGAUUAAUAGGGAUAGUUGGGGGCAUUAGUAUUCAAUUGUCAGAGGUGAAAUUCUUGGAUUUAUUGAAGACUAACUACUGCGAAAGCAUUUGCCAAGGAUGUUUUCAUUAAUCAAGAACGAAAGUUAGGGGAUCGAAGACGAUCAGAUACCGUCGUAGUCUUAACCAUAAACUAUGCCGACUAGGGAUCGGAUGAUGUUAAUUUUUUAAUGACUCAUUCGGCGCCUUACGGGAAACCAAAGUGUUUGGGUUC
RNAcentral lists this ribosomal RNA (564 nucleotides) under uncultured Glomeromycotina. RNAcentral describes it as "SSU rRNA". It matches the Rfam family "Eukaryotic small subunit ribosomal RNA", at positions 548 to 1114 of the family's 1831-position model. The record is from RNAcentral. Lineage: Eukaryota; Fungi; Glomeromycota.